GACGUAGGAUGCGAGCGUUGUUCUGAUUUCUUGGGCGUAAAGCGUACGUAGGCGGCUGUCUAAGUCUGGUGUUAAAGCUAGGGGCUCAACCCCUGUGAUGCACUGGAAACUGGGCGGCUUGAGAGCGGUAGGGGAAGGUGGAAUUCCGAGUGUAGCGGUGAAAUGCGUAGAUAUUCGGAAGAACACCGGUGGCGAAGGCGACCUUCUGGGCCGUUUCUGACGCUGAGGUACGAAAGCGUGGGGAGCAAACAGG
This 253-nucleotide ribosomal RNA is filed under the name uncultured bacterium. Its description in RNAcentral is "partial 16S ribosomal RNA". It matches the Rfam family "Bacterial small subunit ribosomal RNA", at positions 524 to 776 of the family's 1533-position model. The record is from RNAcentral.